This 491-nucleotide ribosomal RNA is filed under the name uncultured bacterium. Its description in RNAcentral is "partial 16S ribosomal RNA". It matches the Rfam family "Bacterial small subunit ribosomal RNA", at positions 30 to 506 of the family's 1533-position model. The record is from RNAcentral.
AUUGAACGCUGGCGGCAUGCUUUACACAUGCAAGUCGAACGGUAACAGGCCUUCGGGUGCUGACGAGUGGCGAACGGGUGAGUAAUGCAUCGGAACGUACCCAGAGGUGGGGGAUAACGCAGCGAAAGCUGUGCUAAUACCGCAUGUGAUCUGAGGAUGAAAGCGGGGGACCGAGCAGCAAUGUUUGGCCUCGCGCCUUUGGAGCGGCCGAUGUCGGAUUAGCUAGUUGGUGGGGUAAAGGCCUACCAAGGCGACGAUCCGUAGCUGGUCUGAGAGGACGAGCAGCCACACUGGGACUGAGACACGGCCCAGACUCCUACGGGAGGCAGCAGUGGGGAAUUUUGGACAAUGGGCGCAAGCCUGAUCCAGCAAUGCCGCGUGCGGGAAGAAGGCCUUCGUGUUGUAAACCGCUUUUGGCAGGAACGAAACGGUGUCCGCUAAUACCGGGCGCUAAUGACGGUACCUGCAGAAUAAGCACCGGCUAACUACGU